This 496-nucleotide ribosomal RNA is filed under the name uncultured bacterium. RNAcentral describes it as "partial 16S ribosomal RNA". It matches the Rfam family "Bacterial small subunit ribosomal RNA", at positions 28 to 507 of the family's 1533-position model. The record is from RNAcentral.
GAUGAACGCUAGCUACAGGCUUAACACAUGUAAGUCGCGGGGCAGCAUGGGGGUUGCUUGCAAUCCCCGAUGGCGACCGGCGCACGGGUGAGUAACGCGUAUCCAACCUGCCCUUCACCACGGGAUAACCCGGCGAAAGUCGGACUAAUACCGUAUGUUGUCCAUUGACGGCAUCCGAUUUGGACGCAAGUUUUGGCGUUGAAGGAUGGGGAUGCGUUCGAUUAGCUGGACGGCGGGGUGACGGCCCACCGUGGCGACGAUCGGGAGCCGUUCUGAGAGGGAGAGCGGCCACACUGAGACUGGAACAGGGCCCAGGCUCCGACUGGAGGCAGCAGUAGGGGAGCGUCGGAAAGAGACGGAAGUCUGACCGAGCAACGCCGCGGGAGUGAAGAAGGUGUUCGGAUCGUAAAGCUUAGUUGUAAGAGAAGAACGAGUGUGAGGGUGGAAAGGUCACUCUUUGACGGUAUCUUACCAGAAAGGGACGGCUAACUACGUG